ACACAGCAUGUCAAAGAAUGACUACGCUCUGGUUUUACACAUCCGUAUUUUUAAACAGCACAAAAUGGUUGUACUUCUCAAUAUCGAAAUCUGACUGGGGCCUCUCCUGCUUGACCUUGCCCUGGAGGCUGCUGUCCUUCCAUGGGUGGGUGCCCAGGCUGAGCUUGCACGGGCUCCUUCAUGUCCCCCUUGGUCAACCUAGGUGAAGAGGGGAAGAAUCCAGCUCCCACCAUGCACCUUAUUGACAGAAGCCUUCCUCAGAUGAAUAUUCAUGAGCAGCCUAAGUUUCUUUGGCUUUUCUGUUUACUAGUUUUAUUAGCUCUUGAGAGGGGAGAGAGAGAGAGAGAGAGAGAGAGACUGGGGGAGACAGAGAAAGAAGCUGGGUGCGGUGGCUCAUGCCUAUAAUCUCAGCACUUUGGGAGGCUGAGGCAGGAGGACUGCUUGAGCCCAGGAGUUCAAGACCAGCUGAGCAACAUAGCAAGAUCCCAUCUCCAUAAAAAAAGAAAAAUAAAAAUUGAAGAGAGAGAGAGAGAGAGAGAACUUUCCAUAAUUAAUAGAGAUAAGGUCAGCAAGAUAACUCUUUUUUGCUCUUUUCCUAAUUGCCCCUUCCUGGGGUGAUUCCUUUCCUAAAUGGGCCUCCUCUUAAUCCUCAAGCUAUUAUGAUAUAAAAAUUAAAGUGUGAUAUCCUGGCUCGCCCAUUUCCUAUUAAUGGAAUGACCUGUGGUAAUCAAUAGAGGAAAUGCAGGAAUGUUAACAGAUGUGUGGUUCUGUUUGAGAGUCUCCAAUUAAGUGAUAUGUCUUCAAGGUGGAAAGAUGAGAUCAUUUUGAAAUUAGUUUCUUUUUGGCUUUUUAAGUCUUUGGUUAUUAUCAAUUGCAUUAAAAAAACCAAUUGGAAAGGAAAAUCGAUCGGUGCUGAAUUCCUCCCCCACCUGAAGUCUUCAUGCUUCCUCAGGUGAUAGGAUGCUAGAGAGGAAAAUUUGGAAUUAGCUUUUAAAAGGAAGAGAAAUGACGGUGUAACCAUCUGCCAAAUACAUGGAAACAACAACAACAAAAACCUCAUCAUUCACCUGGCCUGGCAAAUAGGUUUGUGCAUUUUUUUUCUUUUCUGUCCACCCUGUUGUUUGUCAGAGGUUGACCAAGAACUUGUCCAAGGGCCAUUCCUGUGGUGUCAUUGGUUAGAGACUUUUUAACAAUUUCAAGUUCUGGUGAAAUACUGUGAGUAAAUAAAGAGAGAAUUUUGCCUGAGUUUAAGGGGCUUUCCUGGGAGGUAAUGUAUUUUGUGGCCUAACACUUCAUUACUUAGCCUGCAGAUCUGGUUUCUUUUGAAAACAAACCCUAAGUCUGGAACUUUCCAUGCUGAGAGUCCACGUCAGUUUCAAGAAGGCCUGGUAAGAUGUAGCUGAGUAAAAACGAGACUCAAUAUGAAUGAUUACUGCUGUUCUUUCUCACUGGGAAGCCUGGGGACGUCAAGGAUAAAAUGACCUUUUGUACAGUGGUGAUAUUUCUCCAUGUCUCAGCCUUUUUAUCAGCAUAACUAUGGCCAAACCCAGUGCUUUUGUGGAAAACAUUGGUAGCACCGUCAUCUCAGAAGUCUUUAUGUAACUUCCCAUAGUCAUGUCAGAGGAGAUGGGGAUACAAAUCAUCAAACGCUUCUCUUUGGAUUGUGCAAGUCAGCAAAUCAGCUCUGGCGAUUUCCAAAGAGCUAAGACUACCAUCCCUGGGUAUGGUCCCUGAGUCUUCUUUCCCCAUCCUCUACAGCCCCCACUCAAAGAAAGUGCCUCAAACAGAUGGAAUGACGCAGAGGUAGAAUUGCAAACUUCAGAAAUGCAUGCUUAAGAGGGCAGGUGAGCCGGGUGUGGAGGCUUACAUCUGUCUUCCCAGCACUUUGGGAGGCAGAGGAGAGUGGAUUGCUUAAGCCCAGAAGUUCCAGACCAGCCUGGGCAACAUGGCAAAACUCCAUCUUAAUGAAACAUGCAAAAAUUAGCUGGGUGUGGUGGUGCACGCCUAUAGACCCAGCUACUCAGGGAGGAUCACCUGUACCUUGGAGGUCAAGGCUGCAGUGAGCCAUGAUGGCACCACUGCACUCCAGCCUGGGCAGCUGAGCGAGACCCAAUUUCAAGAAAAAAAAAAAAGGCAUGUGAUUAUUUUCUUCCAACAUCCAUCUGUCCCCCAAGUGUUGUAGGUCCUUCUGCACAAAAGUUCCAUACCCUCCCUUCUCCUUUGGUUUUCUAAUUUAAGUGUGAUGAGUAGCAGCCAGCCAAGUGAAAGAAAGGCCUAGGGAUUUCAAAGGAAAGAUACAAGGCUGGCGGCAAAAAGGAAGGGCUUUCUCCUCACUGGGCCCUCUUCAGUGGCUUGAACUGUGAGACUCCUGGAGGUAUCAGCGCUUGGUUCAACCCUAAAAGAAGUUGCAUCAGACAUGGCAACUUUGGCCUGCUUUGCUUGUAUUCUCUGUGGCGAAUGGAGUAUUAAUAAGUGGCUCUCUGGGGAAGUUUGCGCAGCUCAUACUAGAAAACAAAUAGAUACGUAAAGUUCUUGAAUGAUGUAGAUGUGAUGCCAUAUCUGCUCUCCUUCCCAUAAUUUCAGAGAAAAAUCAAGGACGAUGUGUGGUGAACAUAAUUCCUCAUUUUUCCUUUAUCCAUGAAAUAUUUGCUUUAAAGCAGCAGCUAAAACCACAGGUUUUAGUGAGCAGAUUAUUACCUUUCUGAGAGACACAGAGAUUAAGAGAAUGGUCAGUUGCUUGCCACUGAGUAGGGAAAAGGGAGAAAAAUUAUGAUUCAAGGCAUUUUCUCUGCUUCCAGUUAGCUGCUGGGGGGGACUGGAUUAUGCUUCUCCAAUAUCUGAAGGGUUGUUGAGCUGAAGGCAGUAAGAAGCAAAUGCAGGAAAGCUCUCAUCUUCCCCUCUGGUUACCUAAAAGCAGGACAUAGAUUUACAAAGACAAAAGGUACCCUGGCCACCCCUCCUCCCGGAGAGAACAAAGGUUAACCACUGAAGGCAACUUUGUACUCUUAUUGGCCUGGAGAUGGAACCAGAGGAAUCUACAUUAACAAGCUUUACAAAUGAGCCUUUGACUGAUAGUUAUUUGCCCCCCUCCAAGUUACCACCCAUAAAGAUUCAAAAUCCUUUGCUUUUGUCUUGCCACUUUUUUACAAAUUUCAUAGCCAGCACGAUGGCUCAUGUGUGUAAUCCCAACAGUUUGGGAGGCUGAGGUGAGAGUAUGGCUUCAAAUCAGGAGUUUGAGACUAUCCUGGGCAACAUAGCAAGACCCUGUCUCAAAAAAAAAAAAAAAUUAGGCAGGCAUCGUGGUUCACACCUGUAGUCCCAAUUACUCAGGAGGCUGAGGUGGAGGGAUUGCCUGAGCCCAGGGUUCAAGACUGGCCUGUGCAAUAUAGCAAGACCCCAUCCCUAAAAAAUAAAAAACACCUAUCAGGGUGGGUGCAUGCCAGUAGCCUCAGCUACUCAGGAGGCUGAAGAGAGAGGAUCACUUGAGUCCAGCAGGUUGGGACAGCAGUGAGCUAUGAUUGUGUCUCUGUACUUCAGCCUGAGUGACAGAGCAAGACCCUGUCUCAAAAAAGAAAAAAAAAAGUUUACUAUUUGUUGUUGAAAAUGCUAUAUAAGCUGGAAUUCAAAGCCACCUCUUUGAGAAUUACUCAUUUUCUGGGUAUAUAUGAAAUAUACAUGGUAAUAUGUGACAUAUACAUGGUAAUAAACUUCUGUUUGUUUUUCUCUUGUUUUCUCUUGUCUUUUGUAACAGGGGUCCUUUCCAACCAAGAACCUAUGGGGUCUAGUCUUCCCCUACACUGCCUUUCACUCACCACUGGGCUGCCUGCUUUAAGCUAGGAAUCAAGAGACAGUGGCCUUCCACAGGUGCCUCGACAGGUGCCUCAGCUUCCAAACAGACACAGGAAGGACCCCAGCAUGUUUCAUGCACGGCCUUGGCAUAUCCAAAGAUUAAUGAAGAUGGAUCCAAAUCCUUACUACUAAGCAAAAAGCCUCCAAGCAAAUAACAAUGGACUGAAGAGUUACCUUUGUAGGCAUAAACGUAUCAUUACAAUUAAAGAGAUGUCAAAUGAGCCAGUUGUGUGCUAGAUAAUGCUGAGGCUCAGGACACACUACCACAAAACAUGGUACCUUUCCAUUUGAGAAAACAGCAGAAGCAGGAAAGUCACUCUCACCUUCCCCACUGCCCUUCUCCCCUGAAGCAGGUCCUAAAACCUGUGACGGAUUCUCUGACCUUCACCUAAGCAGGUCAUAAGACCCUCGUUAUUUGAGAGGUGCCCUCCUUGUACCUGGAGGAAGGGAAUGUCCCUAUCUCUGAAGACGGGCACAGGAAGAAUCUGAACAAACAGGCCUUCCUAACUUCCCCACAGUUAUUACCAUGAGGUCAGACCCCCUUUGUUCAAUCACACUUCUCCAUAACUGUCCAUUUCUUCCUCAAACCUAGCAUCAUAAAUACCAGGUUUCCUUGCUUCUUUGGAUCUUCCUUUCCUUAUGAAGGCUCCCAUGUCAUGUAAAACCUAUACAUACAUUUGUUUGCUUUUCUUUUGUUCAUCUGUCUUUUGGUACAGGGGCCUCAGUCAUGAACCCAGUGAAGGGUGACAAAAGAAAUAUUUUUUCCCCUAGAAUGCAAUAGCCCACUAGUGCUCUCAAAGAUGCUGGACUUCUCUGUGAUGUUAUUUAUCCAGGAACAUUGGAGAACUAAAGGUGAUAAGAAGAAAAGAGGCAUGGAAAGCCAAUAACACAGCCAGUACCUUUGGCCAAUUGAAGCUGGCCAACUUCAAGCUAUCACUGGGCCUUAAUAAUUGUACAAAGGGAUGGGCAGUUCUGGGGCUGCACCCACAUAUCUGUGAGCUCUGCUCGGCGGUGUUUUGAGGAUAACCCUUAUCCCAGAUUUUUCAAAGUAUUGUGGUCUUGAUGGCCAGUUUCUUACGUACUCCAGAUGACUACUGCCAUGCAUGAUUGCAAAGGCUGUGCAAAUAUCAAGGACGGUUAAGGUGCUGGCGCUUUUUGUGACUCAACCUCCUUUUUCUUCAAAUCUUUAUUUUAUUUUCCUUUCAUAAUGUAACCAAUCUUUCUCACAAAAAAUUGCUUUGGGUUGCAGUGGAGAAGAAUUUUAGGAUUUUCCCGACCUGUCUUAUAUUGCUCUUUAACAACUUGUGCCUAAACUAUGGAUUUUUUUUUUUUUUUUUGUCUUUUAAAGGUAUGGAGUGAAGAAUCAGUAGUUGGUCAAGGGGAAGUGUCACUGGAAAACCAAGAUCCCCAAAGGCUUAGUUUUUUCUUUUUUUCCUGCUAACAUCUCUAAAAAGAAUUUUCCUGCAGAGCAACAGUAACAUAAAUUGACAGACAGCUGAUGUGUGUUCUUAGCAGUUUCAUUCAUUGGACAGCCUUGGUGAUUAUUAUAUUUCUCUCUCUACGACACUUGACUCAUUUACCAGCCUCAUUCCUGGUGACGCGUGUGCUGAAACACGCAGCCAAGUGUUAGUACCAGGUGGGGUGAUAGGCCAGCUCCCUGCCAGUUGCAUUUAUUUAGAGUGAAGAGGACAACAUUGAAGUGGCAUGAACAAGGCCCAGGGAAGGCUCCCAGGAAGGAGCCAGUCGACAGAUGGCAAAAGAGACUCAGGGUAUCUUUUUGCACAGGGGUCUCCAAAUAGCCAGAGGAUCUGUGCUCAGGGCAUUAUAAACACAUCACCUUAUGUUACCUUCAUCUGUGUCUACCCAGCGGUAACUCUGAUUUUUUUUUAAAUUGUGUUUGCAGGUUAGCUGCUUCAUUUGGAAAAAACUAGGAAGAGCACCGUCACCUCAGCUUCAGCUCUCCUCUUGUUUUUUCUUGGUUCUCUCUGUUCUUGCCCACCAGCCCCAUGUGUCAGGUUUGAAUCUAGGCUGGUGAAUACAUUUUGCAGGAGAUGAUAUGUAACUAGGGUACCGCUUCUCUUUCAUCAUUAUUCACUUUUUAUUUCAUCAUUCUUCACUUUUUCCUUGGUCUGCUUUCAUCUAACUAGGGGUGCCUCGGCUGACAAGGUGGACUUCUCAAGUGAGAGGUUGUAUUUUCUCUCUUCUUUUAUUAGACAUGUGGAAGUUUGGGCUCAUAGGACUAAUUAGACUAUUGAGGAAGUGAUGGGUAAAAGUCUCACACACCUUUCUUUCUUCCUUGAUAGUGUAGGGGAAGAAAAAUCAUUUUUUUCUCCAAUCUUCAUAACUUCUUAGUUGGAAUGGACCCCUGUUACAAAAGACAGAUUAACAAUUGAAAAACAGUUUAUUAACGUGUAUUUCACAUACCCAGAAAAUGAGCCUCUCAAAUAGGUGGCUUUGGAUUCCAGCUUGUAUAGCAAGUUUAACAAUGAACAGUAAAAUUUUAAAAACAAGACAAAGGAAAAGAACUUUGAGUCUCUAGAGGCUGGUGGCAACUUGGAGGAGGGCAAAUAACUGUCAGAUAAAGGCUCACUAGUAAAGCUUGUUAAUGUAGAUUCCUCUCCAGGCCAAUAAGGGCCCAAAGUUGUCUUCUCCCUGGUAGGCAGUAUAUCUUUUGCAUUUUGGUAAAUACAGAGAGAGCAGAGAAAUUUCCUGUAUCAGCUUUUAAAUUGCCUUCAGCACAACAAUGCUUCAUAGUCUGGGGUGGCAUAUUUUGAUCUCCCACAAUAUGUAUCUUGAGGUUAUUUCUGGAGACAGAGGAGGCAGGCCUGUUGUGUUUUAAAGAGUGAUAUUUAUACAUGUGUAACAAAGAACAUAUUUUGCUGACUAUUUUUCACUCUAUGAACAGGUGGUCUUGCUGUGGGGCACUUCCUUGAAUCUUAAAUCGUUGAUUACACAUGAAAAUGUCUGCAUUGCAGACAGAGAGACAGCACUUAUGAAGAUGGGGUGGCAUUGAGAGGACUGGGAUGUUCUGGGAUACAAGAGUGAUCAGAGUACCUGGAGCUUGGGAGAGGAGAGGGGAGAGGAGAGGAGAGAGAAGGCUCAGAAGUGCUUUUGAGCCAGAUCAGGAAGGGCUCAAAGCCUUGCAAAGCAGUUUGGGCUUUUUCUUGAAGGUGAAAGGAAAACCUCUGAAAGAUUUUAUGCAAGGACUGGCCAGACCAUUUUCACAUUUACAAAAUAUAAUGAUGGCAGAAUGGAGCAGCAGUAUGGAGAACAGCUGAGGGGCACAGGUGAUGGACAAGAUGUUUGAUAAAGAGGUGAUUGAAGUAACCCAUCGGAAAAAUAAUGAUGGCCUGAACCAAGUACGUUAGGAGAUGAACUUGAAAGUUAUUAAGAAAGUAGAAUGGGUGCCCCUGAUUUCUAUCUUGCCUUUCUGAUAGCCACUAGAAUGGCAUUUGGUGGCUCCUUUCUCUUUGUGGAUAGACAUGUGUUAUUGGGGGGAAUAAAGGGCCCAGUCAAAAACCUAAGUCUUCCAGACACCGUUGCAAGGGGGCUAAUGAGAUAUGGCCUAAAUGACAGGCUGGGCUUCCGGAAAACUUUUAAUGGGGGCUUACUCAGCUGGAGGUGCCUUAAUUGCAUCUUCCCUCUUUCUCUUUCUUUCUGCCUGGAACUUGGGAAUAGCCAUCUUGAAUGUAGGGAGUGAGUUGAAGGAUUUGAGGAGGGACUCGUUUAUGGCUUGGCUGAAAGGGUAGAUGAUAGUUGCAAGACACGGAACGUAAGGGAGAUUUAGGGGCCAGGAUGGUGCAUUUUGUUUUGUACAUGUUAAGUCUGAGGAAUCUCUACGAUGGCCAGUCUGUGUCCAGGAAACAACGGGAUGUGGACCUGGGCGAGAGAAAUACACCUGGAAACCAUCACUUGCCAGAGAACAGUUGACACGAUGGAAGUGUAUGAGGUCCCUGGGGAGGGUGUCUGAGAAAAGGGCCAAGGGCAGAGCCUGGGGAGCCCAGCACUGGGGCAUGAUGCAGCCCUGAGCAGGACAGGGGAGAAGCAUCCAAGGAGCUGGGGAGACGCCCUGGAGAGGGCAGUGUCCUGGACAUCAAGGACAUUCAGAGGACACAGUGGUCUCUAAUGCCACAGUAAGAAAGGACUUAGGGGACAGUGGGGUCAGGAAGGAAAAUGGCCAGAGGACUGCUGCUUUCUACAAAAAAGACUCUCAGAACCAUCUACACACAGAAGGUGGCCACAGGCGCAAUUUGUGUCAUGAUGCCACCACACUUGUGAUUCUCUGGAGUCUUGUAAUACCCUGUUAUUGGUUCCUUUUUUAAUACAAUUCUCUCUCCCAUCAACUUAUCUAUCUCUCCAACUGUGUCAAUGAUAUAUUUCACUUAAGAUCAAAAUGAAUGCACAUGCAUUAAAUGUUCAUUUUAAGUUCUUUCUUUUUCUUUUUUGAGACGAAGCUUUGCUCUUGUUGCCCAGGCUGGAGUGCAGUGGCGUGAUCUCGAAUCACUGCAAUCUCCACCUCCCGGGUUCAAGCGAUUCUCCUGCCUCAGCCUCCUGAGUAGCUGGGAUUACAGGCAUGCGCCACCAUGCCCGGCUAAUUUUGUAUUUUUAGUAGAGAUGGGGUUUCUCCAUGUUGAUCAGGCUAGUCUCAAACUACUGACCUCAGGUGGUCUGCCCACCUCAGCCUCCCAAAGUGCUGGGUUUACAGGCGUGAGCCCCCUUGCCCAGCCAAGUUAUUUCUUGAUAAAGAGUUUUGGGGGAUCCCUUGUAGCACACCGAUGUGAAACCCAUCGAGACUGGAUUCUGUGUUCUGUUCAUUAAAUACGUCACUGUGAAGGACUCUGAUAGAAGAGAAAAAAGGCUUUUAAAGAAGGUUAAAAAAAAAAGACAAGGCAGUGGGCAAGAAUGCUUUGGUUUUCCUUGUGUGCUGUGGCAGUGGUACCAACAGAAUUUCCUUCCCCCAUGGUGGGACCUAUGAGCUCAGGGCCUCUGCCCUUUGCCACAUGCUGAACUGAGGUAUCAUGAGCUGGAUCUGUCUUCUGUCUCUAAAGUCAAAGUAGGAUGAUGCUUUCUUAACUUCUAAUUUAUUUUCUUAAACUGAGAAGUGAGGAGUAUGUCUUCUGGGGAAUGUCCUCAGAUUGCAUCAGCCAGGAGCCGUGAGGACCAGCUCUCUCCCUGGUCCAGGUCUCUCAAGGAUGCUCAGAGAACCUGUUCUGGCUCUGGGCAGCUUCCUGCUUAGAGUGAUGAAAAUAAUUGUUUUCUCAUCUAAAUGACUGUUGAGCGAUGAACUCAUUGCUUUUAGGUCUCUAAUAGGGCACUCCCCGGGGAACAGGUGAUAGUCCUCAUCUGAAACAAUUUAAUUGGGAAGAGAUUUCACUUGGUAUCUCCAAGAAGGACCCCAGGCCCUGCUUCCAUAAGCAGUGCCUUGCCACAUAGGAGCUGUGGCUGCUUCUUGACCCAUUAGCUAGGUCAAGAGUGUUAAGAACACUCUGAACAUUUACUGGGAACUCACUGGAUGUAAAGUUUCUCUUUAAGAUGUCACAUGGUGACAGAUUCAAGAUAUGAUGCCUGCUCUCGAGUGGCUUAAACUCUCCAUUUGGGUGAAGGUUAGAGAGGAAGAGGGAAAAACACUCUUGUUUGAAUGCAUCAAUUUUAGGCUAAAUAUCUAGAAGCAUAUGCAUUAUAAACACAUGAUCCAUCACAGGUAUAAACAUGAAACUCCACUUAUCUGGUGUUCACUUAUUCAAUCAGCUCAGCUAUCCAGAAAAAAGCUGAGAUCUCAGAGCAGACACAGUUUAUUAAAAAAAAAAAAAAUUAGGAUUCUACAGUUCAAAAACUUUGCUUGCAUUGUUCUGAAUUCAUUUCCUCUUAUUUUGGAUAUAUUCUAGAAAGCUUUUCCAGAACAUACCAGAUUAACGUUGUGGAGGUGAGCUGGCCCAGGCAAUGGCAAUAGACUGCCUAGAAGGAGCUGGCCCAGGCAAUGGCAAUAGACUGCCUACAAGGAGAAGUAAUUUCUGAGGACCUCACAUUAAAGCAAUGGUUCCCACACUUUUCAGACAUGCUUUAGCAUCCUCCGGAUAUCUUUCAUUAAUUUUUAAACUCAGGCCACUCACAAAAUGGAUUAAAUAAUAAUCCCUGGACAUGGGAGUGGGGGGAGGUGGGGAGGUGGGGUGAGCUGGGGGUUGGGUGGGUAAUGGAGGACACACAGGCAUCGGUAGUUUUGGAAGCUACUCAGGUGAUCCAAUGCACAGACAAGAUAGGGAGUUAUUGCAUUGGACGUUAAGGAUGAACAAGCAGAUGUUUCACUGUGUAGUAUUCUGUGGCCAUUUUGUAGUAUUCUACAGCCAUUGCCAUUUUGUGUCAGGGCAAGUACUCUUCACCUUUCUUUUUUUCUUUUUUUCUUUUUUUUUUUUUUUUUGAGAUGGAGUCCUGCUCUGUCACCCAGGCUGGAGUGCAGGAGUGAUCUUGGCUUACUGCAACCUCUGCCUCCCAGAUUCAAUUGAUUCUCCUGCCUCAGCCUCCUGGGUAGCUGGGAUUACAGGCAUGCAUCAUCACGCCCGGUUAAUUUUUGUAUUUUUAGUAGAGAUGGGGUUUCACCAUGUUGGCCAGGCUGGUCUUGAACUCCUGACCUCAGGUGAUCUGCCUGUCUCGGCCUCCCAAAGUGCUGGGAUUACAGGCCUGAGCCACUGCACCUGGCCACCUUUCACCCUUCCAAAAAGCAGCCUGUACCUUCCUUAGGUGCAUGAAGGUGAAACAAUGCCCCGAACAGGCAGGAGGGAUGUGCUUUCCUCCCCAGUCACUGGGAGUCCUGGGAGGUAUCACUGCAUUACAAAUAUAACCCACACCAAAGGCCCCUUUUCUGUCGCACAGAAUCUGUCUCCAAGGAUUCUCUGGAAAUGGAAAGUGGGAACUUGUGGGCCUUUGAGAUGGAGCAUAGUAUAGUUGUCUUCCUUUGGGUUAUAGCCUUCAGAGAGGUGCUCCUUUUCACCUUGUACAGCGUGGGCUACAAGAGGCUCUUGCCACCUUUUGCAUGUGACCAGGGAGGGAAAUGGACACCCCUCACUAGUCAGAGGAUAUUACACAUCAAUGCCCCCCCACAUCAGUGGACGUUUCUUUUCACAACUUCUUUCAUUUCUUCCUGUUUCAGUGUCUAGAACUUCCUGUUGCCACACUCUGCUCCCUUGAACUCCUUUCUAUAGAAAUAAGGGUGUUCUUGUCCCUUCAUCCAUUCUUCAGCCCUAAAAAUUUCACAGCCUCAGUCAUUUGCUAAGGAUCUACCACUUUUUAGCUCUUUCAAGCUGCUGUGGUCACAGCAGAGGAUGAUGUAAGCUCCUCUGCUCCCCUGCAUGGGGCGGGAGGGGCCGGAGAAGUGAGGGAAGAGUGGGGGCCCAGGAUUUCUCCCUUGAUUAUAGAGAUGUGGUGGAGGAUGGGGAGGCAGACGGAAAGAAAAAUGUCCCAGCUCACCCUGGCACAGAGACAUUGUUCCACAAAGAAUGCUCACUAAAAAAAUGUUUAUACUAUCAUAUUAACUUGUAAAAGAGCAAGCUAUAACAUUUUAUGUUCAAUGUAAUACAUUUUUAUUAAGGCAUAACUCCCUAAAAAUGGCUGGGUAAAAGCCUGGAAAGAGAUACACAAAUGUUAGCGGUGGUUGCUUUUUGGACGGUGUGACCAUGGCGAUUAGAAAUAUUUUUUCCCAACUUUUCACAAGAAACAUAUGGCUUUUCUCAUUUUUUUAAAAAAACGGGGUGGGGGAAAGAGCAAUUAUUUUAAGCCAGAAUGUCCAAAAUGAUGCCGUCGAGUCCAACACAAUAUUUUAGACUUUGUUAAUUCCUUUCUGUACAGGAUAGAAGACAAAGGAGGGGCUAAUCUACUUUAGCCAGAUCUAUCAAGCAAAGCAGUGGGAGUUGUUCACAUAUAAGUUCUGUACCCCCUAAAGGAGGCCCAAGUUAGUUUCUUGGCCCAUGUAAUGAAUGCUUUCUCUCUAUUGACUUUCAUUUUUUAAUAUUCUCUGUCAUGUGACAUAACAAGUCAAUGCUCCAUAAAUAUUGGUCAGUUGAAUGAAUUAAAGAAAAUAUUGAUGCUUACAGGCAGAUAGUUUUCUAGAAAAAUCUGCUUAUUUUUCUGAAUAAUUAUGAAAAACGACAUGAUUUCUAUUUUAAAAAAAAGAGAUAAUGUAUCUAUUGUCGACGGACGGUGGAUGUGAGCCAUGUGUUGUGUUCAUACUCGGAGAAUGAAGGAAAACAUCAGAGACUGGGUAAGACAUAAGCAUGAUUUUGAAGAAAUCAAUUGAAAUUUUAUGGAAAGGAACGAGGAUGUUCCAGGCAUGUGGAUUAGCUUAUGCCAAGAUCUGAUGGCUAAAGAAAGGUGAGCAUAGAGGGUGGCCAGGUUGUUGACGGGAGCAGAUGGCGUGGGCUAGAAGGAUCCUGGCAGGGGUCACUGAUAGAUAGAGGAGGAGAGAAACCCGUAGACAAACAGAUUAGAUUUCCCUCUGAUGCUGGUAAAUGCGGAGCUUUUUGUAAGUUUUGGGGGAAAGUGUGUUCCCAAACACAUAUCCUGCUCUCUUGCUCCUCUUUCUAUGGCAAAGGAGGAGAAAUUUCUUCCAGAGACAUAAGCAGGAGGAAGCUGGAGCUCUCUCCUGAGUGAUUGUCAGUUGCAGAGGAGGUGAAUAUCACAGGACAAGCAAGCGUGGGGGAGAAGACUGCCUAGACAUUCUAAAGGUGCAGUAUGGCAUUGAGGAGCGGGGAGAAUUUUAUCCCAUCCAUGGUUAGCUGAAGGGUUCUUCCUCUUCCUCAGCUCCCACACCCUCUCACCCCCACCGCUGAAAUUUCCUGCCUUGUGCUCAUCUUUGUUCCAGAUACUCAUUGCCUGUUUGGCUCUCCUGCACCAUUCCGUUUCUCUGCAAUGGUUCAUUGCUUUCUCAGCAGACUGUGUUUACAGUAUACCCAAGACUGCCCCUACAGUCCUAUCCCGAUAACCACCAAGCCGAUUGCACCCUGACUUAUCUCCGGAGCUCACACUCUUACUUCCAGGCACCUGCUGGACACAUCCUACUAGGUAUCUCUUAGGCACCUCUAUCACAACAUGCCCCAAACUGAAUUCAUUUUCUUCUCCCUCCAAGUCUGCCUGCCGUUUUCUUUGCAGUCUCAGUUUUAACCCCACUGUCAGACAGAACACCGUUUGCCCUUGCCUACCUCUCACUCACCCCCCAUGUCUAGUCAAUCACUGUUCCUGGACCAUUCAUUCUACCUGCAAAAUGUCUGUUGAUGCCGGGCACAGUGGCUCACACCUGUAGUCUCAGCACUUUGGGAGGCCAAGGCGGGUGGAUCACCUGAGGUCAGGAGUUCGAGACCAGCCAGACCAACAUGGUGAAACCCCUUCUCUACUAAAAAUACAAAAUGAGCCGGACGUGGUGGUACAGGCCUGUAAUUCCAGCUAUUCUGGAGGCUGAGGCAGGAGAAUCUCUUAAGCCUGGGAGGCGAAGGUUGCAGCAAGCCGAGAUCGAGCCAGUGCACUCCAGCCUGGGCCGCAAGAACGAAACUCCGUGUCAAAAAAAAAAAAAAAGUCUGUUGCAUCUCUUAGCUUUUCUUUUCCCUGGUGCUAAUUUUGUGUCGUCUCCUGGGUCACUGCUUUCUCCUGGGACAGCAUGCUAACUCUUGCCUUCAAUUCCUCUCUGUUUCUGUUUUUCCAAUCUAUCCUCCUCAUUUCCUGCCAGGAUGAUCUUUCUGAAGCCAAUCGGAUCAUGUCAAUUUUGCUGAAAAAGCACUCAAGCACCCCAAGUCGUGGCCUAAGGAUCAAGCUUCUCAUCUGGCUCAGAAUAUCUUCCCAGCCUCAUCUCACAUUACCUGUGCUCCUUCCUCCCUUUUGCACAGUUCUCCAUCCACACAGAAAUAUUUCCCAUGCCCCAAACAACAGCCUGGCUCCCUUUCCUACUUUUGCACCUGAUUUUUCCCUCAAUCUGGUUUUCCUCUCAUGCCCUGCCUGCGAACCCUGUCUGCAAAAUAGCAUUAUGCACAAGGGGACCCACUGCCCUGCCCCGCUCAUCCUUCCUAGCAGCACUUAAGGCCCCCUCCCUGCAAAGCCUUCUCUGCCCUUUCUCCAAGGUUCGGUUAGAGCUUAAGGACAGCUUAUUUAAUGUGGUUAUCUCUCCUCUACAAUAUCAAUUCUAUGCAAGGAGAGAUCUGAGUUUUAUUCAUCCAGAUCCUAGCACAGAGCCUGGCAUGAAGUAAAUCCUUAAUCUCUGUUUAUUGAAUGAAUGAAUAAAUACAUUCUUUUUUUUUUUUUUUAAAUAAAAGUAUUGGCCGGGCUUGGUGGCUCAUGCCUGUAAUUCCAGCACUUUGGGAGGCCAAGGCUGGUUGCUUGAGCUCAGGAAUUUGAGACCUGCCUGGGCAACAUAGCAAGACCCCAUCUCUAAAAAAAAGAAACCAUAACAACUAGCCAGACAUGGUGGCGCACACCUGUAGUUUCAGCUACUCGGAAGGCUGAGGUGGGAGGAUCACUUGAGCCCAGGAGGUCAAGGCUGCAGUGAGCCAUGAUUGUACCACUGUGCUGGAGCCUGGGCUACAAAGUGAGACCCCAUCUAGAAAAAUAAAUGAGUAAAUAAAUAAAUAUAUUCCUAUUGUUUAAUUCAAUAAUUCCACUUCUGAGAAUGCUUCCUAGAAAAUCAUCCAACAUAUUAGAACAAAAUAAAGAUGUUCCUUGUAGAAUUAUUUAAAUGAUAACUCUUAAAAUAUAUUUGCCCAACAGUUGUGGAAUGGUUAAAUCAAUUAUGAUACUUCUAUUUCCUAGAGUUUUGUACAGAUACGGUGGAAGCUUAUGAAUAAAUAAAUGCUUUAUUCUUCUUAGAUUAACAUUUUUUUUCCUUCCAGAAAGGUCCCAUUUUCUUUAUAACUUUAUCCUUCAAAGGUAGACCUCAGUGGAGCAUUCUUUUUUUUUGUUUUGAAAUAGAGUUUUGCUCUUGUUGCCCAGGCUGGAGUGCAAUGGCACAAUCUCGGCUCACUGCAACCUCCGCCUCUUGGGUUCAAGUGAUUCUCCUGACUCAGUCUCCCAAGUAGCUGGGAUUACAGGUGCCCACCACCACACCUGGCUAAUUUUUUGUGUUUUAGUAGAGAUGGGGUUUCACCACAUUGGCCAGGCUGGUCUCAAACUCCUGACCUCAAGUGAUCUGCACACUUCAGCCUCCCAAAGUGCUGUGAUUACAGCCACCGCGCCCAGCCCAGUAGAACCUUCUUAUCUCCCUCUCCUUACAUUUGCUUAGAGGGAUGAGAGCCUCCUUGCUUGGGGAGGGGAAAGCUAUUGGGGAGGGACAUUACUGGCCUUUUGUCUCCACCUCCCCAGUGGCUGCUCUGGUUGGGUGGACUGAGGGUUCCCUCCUGCAAGUUCCUGCUGAGUGUGGCUGUCCUCAGGAAACCAAGUCCCCUCUGCGGCCCUACGGUAAGUGGCCCUGGCUUCAGAGGAGCUUGCAUUUGACUAGGCCUGCUGUGACUGGUAUGUGGGUUUAAUCAUGGUUUCCUUUUGUGGUGGGGGCAGAUAUUAGAAAACCCAUCUGUUUCCAGCUCUAAGCUUCAGACUCCAAUCGGCUUUAUCAGAAAUAAAGCAGAUAUUUUGAUCUCCAUCUGUCUGAUUCUGAGUCUUUUAAUUGGUCCCACUUGAAGCUGGGUGGGGGCUGGGAAGAGAAUGGGGACAGGAGUGUUAUUUGUUCUUCUAAAACCCCAAUAACUAUUCUCUUAUUCCACAGUGAAGAGAUCAGGAGUUACUCAAAUCCCAGCCAUCGGAAGGAAUCUUAAGCCACAUAUGAUUUCAGAGAAAGUUUCUGCUUUAUAGGGCAAAGGGGUGCCUAGGACUGAGCCUUGUAUGUGCUAAAUGCCUUGUACUAUUGAAAUGAACGAAUAAAGAGGUUUGUGGACAGCAAGCUAUAGUUCAAACUCACAUAUCCUGAGAAAGACAAGUAAUGGAUUUUCCAUUUUCAUCUAUCAGAUGGGCAAAGACCAAAAAGUUUAGUAAUCCACUGUGUUGGAGAGGGUGUGAGAAAAUACACUACCUCAUACAUUGCUGGUAGGAGUGUAUUUUGUUUAAAAUAAUCCAUGUAGGGCAAUUUGGGAGCAUCUAUUUAAAAAUACAUAUGCACAUGGCCUUUGACCCAGCACUUCCGUUUCUAGGAAUUUAUAUUAUGGAUAUACUAGCAUAUGCAAAAUGACAUUAUGUACAAGGGUAUUUAUCAUCAUAUCAUUUAUAAUAGGGCAAAGUUAGGAAUAUUCUAAUUGUCCAACAAUUAGGGAACUUGUUAAAUAAAUGCUGCUGCAUCUUAAUGAAUUUUUUUAGCUAUACAAAAAAAACGAGGACGCUUCUUACAUGCCAACGUGAAGUGAUUUCCAAGAUGCUGAUAAAUGAAAGCAAUCAAAGUGGACAAUAUUGAGUAUGUAAUGCUAGCAUUUAAAAAAGGAGAGAGCAAAAAUGCAUUUGCUUGUAAUGCUUUUAUCUGAAAAUAUAUAAUUGAAACUGAUAACAUUGUUUGCCUCUGGGAAAGAGAACCAGAUGGUUGGAGGGACAAGGUUAGGUGGGAGACUUUGAUAAACAGUAUUUGUACCUUUUGAAUUUUAAACAGCGUAAAUGUUAUUAAAGUUAUAUACUCACAACAAACAAAUGUAUACACUUUGAUUUUUCUUUUCGUUUAUGUGUUUGUUUUAGCAAUGGUGGUUUUGAUAUAUUACCCAGGCUGGAGUACGGUGGCUAUACACAGGCGUGAUCAUCGUGCAUCACAGCCUCAAACUCCUGGGCUCAAGUAUCCUCCUGCUUCAGCCUCCUCAGUAGCUGGGAUUACAGGUGUGUGCCACUUGCACUUAGCUUGAUUUUUAUUUUUAUUGAAAGGAGACCUUUUUAUGACGUGGGAGGAAACGUGGCAUUAGUUUCCUUAGAUAAUAAUUUCUAAGGAUAAUUUAGGAAGCAUGGAUUAUUAAGAAGUAGGCAAAAAGGGUUAACACAGUGGUCAGUGUGCAGGUUCCCAAGUCACACUACUUAGAUUCACAUUCAGGCUCGGUACUUUCUGUGUGACUGUGGGCAAGUUUUCUCUUCAAAUGAGGGAUAAUAAUAGUUCCCAACACCUAGGACUGUGGUGAGGAUAAAAUGAAAGAAUGGGUGUGUAACCUGCAUAAAGUCAGGUCCCACGUGGUCCUGUCUUAGCUUAAAGUCACUUCCAGAGAAAAGAACAAAUUCACAAGGAAGCUUAGUGGAAAGCAAGUCAAGUGUUUACUGUGGUUUCUUAAGAAAAUUUCAACAGCAUAUGCCUAAGAAAUACUAAGCUUUAGAAAAUUUCUUGGCUUCAACUUGCCCACCCCUCACUUCUAACAGAGCAUACUUGAAAAACCCUCCUCAGUGCACUCUUCAUCCCAACAGCAGACUUCUCAUGCUCACCUGCCAUGCUUGCUUUGAGCUAUUUUUGUUUGUUUGUUUCUGCCAGAGGUUCUUCCCAUUGCAAAUAUAAAUCUUGCCUCUCAGGCUUACAGUAUUUUUUCCCCAGUCUGUGAAUUAAGGCCUGUGAGCUGAGGAUAUGGGAAAAUGCCAAGGGAAUCAAGUCAGAAUUUUACUAGUGGAAGUGGAGGUGAGCAGACAUAAGAGAGGAUGGAAAAAAGGGCUUUAAAAAUAUUUUUAUAAUAAUAAUUUUUUGCCGCUGUUACAUAUGGAAGGAACUUAUAACAUUGCUUAGCAUUGUAAGCACUCCAUAAGUCUUAGCUAUUAAUAUUAUUCAUAGUAACCACUUUCCUACAACCUGAUAGUAAUAAUAACACCUAACAUUUACUAAGAGUCUAUUUACUGUGUGUCAAACACAGGUCUAGCACUUUAUGUGAAUUAAUUCUUGUUAGUUUCCCAACACCACCAUGCGGUAGGCCCUUUUAUAACUCCCAUUUUAUAGAUGGGGAAACAGACACAGGGAGAUUAAGUGACUUGGUUGGAGUUACAAAGGAAGAGGGAGAGUCGAGACAGGCAGCCAAGCAGCCUGACUCUAGUUUCCAUCUGAGCCAUCAUUUAUAUUGCCUUGAAUUCACGUUUUCCGUUCUGUUGUAAUGAGUCAGGGAACCAGCCAAUUCAAUCUUCUUAUACUGAAAGUUUUCUGAGGGUUUUCUUCUGCUAGUUUUCACAACCCUUAGUGAUGAGAUCCCAAAUGAGAUAUAUAAGUAAACAGUAAGGAUGGUGGGUGCCUUCAUGUUCCUGGGAGGAUAACUGCUGUCAUUGUCAUUGCCUUAGCUCUUUGGAUACGAAAGCUUUCUGGUUAGGAACCAGAGAGAGGCUCCUACCAAUGAAUUAUUAAUGAAUGCAUUUGAUAUUUUUCUCCAUUGCCUCCCCAAUUGCCUAUCUAAGGAAAACAGUGCUAACCAGAUAAAUUAAAUGCCCUUUUACAAAUUGACCUACUCUGGGG
Molecule: long non-coding RNA, 18256 nt
Filed under: Homo sapiens (human)
Lineage: Eukaryota; Metazoa; Chordata; Mammalia; Primates; Hominidae
Description: non-protein coding lnc-DTNBP1-16:19
Source: RNAcentral